Molecule: small nuclear RNA, 107 nt
Organism: Loxodonta africana (African savanna elephant)
Lineage: Eukaryota; Metazoa; Chordata; Mammalia; Proboscidea; Elephantidae
Source: Ensembl
AUACUCCCUUCAGCAGCACAUAUACUGAAAUUGGAAUGAUACAGAGAAGAUCAGCGUGGCCCCUGCACAAGGAUGAUGUGCAAAUGCAUGAAGCGUUUCAUAUCUUU